UAAAUUAUAUCUUAAUUUAAAGAAUUUGUUUUGAAAACAAAAAAUAUUAAAUUUAUUUUUAAUUUAU
This 67-nucleotide transfer RNA is filed under the name Cecidomyiidae sp. 3 LC-2017. Its description in RNAcentral is "tRNA-Ser". Lineage: Eukaryota; Metazoa; Arthropoda; Insecta; Diptera; Cecidomyiidae. The record is from RNAcentral.